CUACGGGUGGCACCAGUGGGGAAUAUUGCACAAUGGGGGAAACCCUGAUGCAGCAACGCCGCGUGGAGGAUGACACAUUUCGGUGCGUAAACUCCUUUUAUAUAAGAAGAUAAUGACGGUAUUAUAUGAAUAAGCACCGGCUAACUCCGUGCCAGCAGCCGCGGUAAUACGGAGGGUGCAAGCGUUAUUCGGAAUCACUGGGCGUAAAGGGUGCGUAGGCGGGUUGGAAAGUCAGGUGUGAAAGCCCGGGGCUCAACUCCGGAACUGCACUUGAAACUUCCAGACUAGAAUACUGAAGGGGCAGAUGGAAUUAGUGGUGUAGGGGUAAAAUCCGUAGAUAUCACUAGGAAUACCGAAAGCGAAAGCGAUCUGCUGGGAAGUUAUUGACGCUGAGGCACGAAAGCGUGGGGAGCAAACAGGAUUAGAUACCCUUGUAGUC
Molecule: ribosomal RNA, 439 nt
Filed under: uncultured bacterium
Lineage: Bacteria
Description: partial 16S ribosomal RNA
Rfam family: Bacterial small subunit ribosomal RNA
Source: RNAcentral